AGUGAACGCUGGCGGUAGGCCUAACACAUGCAAGUCGAACGGCAGCACAGUAAGAGCUUGCUCUUACGGGUGGCGAGUGGCGGACGGGUGAGGAAUACAUCGGAAUCUACUUUUUCGUGGGAGAUAACGUAGGGAAACUUACGCUAAUACCGCAUACGACCUACGGGUGAAAGCAGGGGAUCUUCGGACCUUGCGCGAUUGAAUGAGCUGAUGUCGGAUUAGCUAGUUGGCGGGGUAAAGGCCCACCAAGGCGACGAUCCGUAGCUGGUCUGAGAGGAUGAUCAGCCACACUGGAACUGAGACACGGUCCAGACUCCUACGGGAGGCAGCAGUGGGGAAUAUUGGACAAUGGGCGCAAGCCUGAUCCAGCCAUACCGCGUGGGUGAAGAAGGCCUUCGGGUUGUAAAGCCCUUUUGUUGGGAAAGAAAAGCAGCAGGUUAAUACCCCGCUGUUCUGACGGUACCCAAAGAAUAAGCACCGGCUAACUUCGUG
This 492-nucleotide ribosomal RNA is filed under the name uncultured bacterium. RNAcentral describes it as "partial 16S ribosomal RNA". It matches the Rfam family "Bacterial small subunit ribosomal RNA", at positions 29 to 507 of the family's 1533-position model. The record is from RNAcentral.